AUUGAACGCUGGCGGCAGGCCUAACACAUGCAAGUCGAACGGUAACAGGAAGCAGCUUGCUGCUUUGCUGACGAGUGGCGGACGGGUGAGUAAUGUCUGGGAAACUGCCNGAUGGAGGGGGAUAACUACUGGAAACGGUAGCUAAUACCGCAUAACGUCGCAAGACCAAAGAGGGGGACCUUAGGGCCUCUUGCCAUCGGAUGUGCCCAGAUGGGAUUAGCUAGUAGGUGGGGUAACGGCUCACCUAGGCGACGAUCCCUAGCUGGUCUGAGAGGAUGACCAGCCACACUGGAACUGAGACACGGUCCAGACUCCUACGGGAGGCAGCAGUGGGGAAUAUUGCACAAUGGGCGCAAGCCUGAUGCAGCCAUGCCGCGUGUAUGAAGAAGGCCUUCGGGUUGUAAAGUACUUUCAGCGGGGAGGAAGGGAGUAAAGUUAAUACCUUUGCUCAUUGACGUUACCCGCAGAAGAAGCACCGGCUAACUCCGUG
RNAcentral lists this ribosomal RNA (490 nucleotides) under Escherichia coli. Its description in RNAcentral is "bacterial SSU rRNA". It matches the Rfam family "Bacterial small subunit ribosomal RNA", at positions 30 to 507 of the family's 1533-position model. Lineage: Bacteria; Pseudomonadati; Pseudomonadota; Gammaproteobacteria; Enterobacterales; Enterobacteriaceae. The record is from RNAcentral.